RNAcentral lists this transfer-messenger RNA (359 nucleotides) under Candidatus Hinthialibacter antarcticus. It matches the Rfam family "transfer-messenger RNA". Rfam says of the family: Bacterial tmRNA, also known as 10Sa RNA or SsrA, is named for its dual tRNA and mRNA-like properties. Its role is to liberate the mRNA from a stalled ribosome. To accomplish this part of the tmRNA is used as a reading frame that ends in a translation stop signal. Lineage: Bacteria; Candidatus Hinthialibacterota; Candidatus Hinthialibacteria; Candidatus Hinthialibacterales; Candidatus Hinthialibacteraceae. The record is from RNAcentral.
GGGGGCGUAAUGGUUUCGACGGGAAUUACGCGCUUGUUGAGUGCAUGCCGAGGUUCCGCAGGCCUCGUUAAAAAGGCGGACCUAUUUAAUUGCCAAUGAUCAAGCAUUACCACUCGCUGCUUAAUUAGUUAAGUAGCGGUCGCUUCGCCCGGUUUGGUCUCGUUGGCUGGGCUAUGGCGUCAUAAAGGCGAGAAUAGCGGGUUGGAGUGUCUUCGACCAACCGGCGAAUCUAAAGAGGGCUAACCGCGUUGCAAGCUGUCUGUGCGUUUCAACGCGGUGAUUUCAAGCAUAGACUACGCAUGUAGGACUCUCCAAGUAAGGAUUUUCGGACGCGGGUUCGACUCCCGCCGCCUCCACAG